AUGCUUGCUUCUGCAGCACACAUACUAAAAUCGGAACAAUACAGAGAAGAUAAGAGUGGUCCCGUGCAUGCAUGACACGCAAAUUCAUUCUAUAUUUUU
This is a small nuclear RNA of Loxodonta africana (African savanna elephant), 99 nucleotides long. Lineage: Eukaryota; Metazoa; Chordata; Mammalia; Proboscidea; Elephantidae. The record is from Ensembl.